This 303-nucleotide ribosomal RNA is filed under the name uncultured bacterium. RNAcentral's name for it is "partial 16S ribosomal RNA". It matches the Rfam family "Bacterial small subunit ribosomal RNA", at positions 510 to 809 of the family's 1533-position model. The record is from RNAcentral.
AGCAGUAGCCAGGUAAUACGUAGGUGGCAAGCGUUGUCCGGAAUUAUUGGGUGUAAAGCGAGCGCAGGCGGUUAGAUAAGUCUGAAGUUAAAGGCUGUGGCUUAACUAUAGUACGCUUUGGAAACUGUUUAACUUGAGUGCAAGAGGGGAGAGUGGAAUUCCAUGUGUAGCGGUGAAAUGCGUAGAUAUAUGGAGGAACACCGGUGGCGAAAGCGGCUCUCUGGCUUGUAACUGACGCUGAGGCUCGAAAGCGUGGGGAGCAAACAGGAUUAGAGACCCCCGUAGUCCCUGUCUCUUAUACAC